RNAcentral lists this transfer RNA (64 nucleotides) under Polypedilum henicurum. RNAcentral's name for it is "tRNA-Arg". The record is from RNAcentral. Lineage: Eukaryota; Metazoa; Arthropoda; Insecta; Diptera; Chironomidae.
AAAUAAGAAACAAAAUUUGUAAUUAGUUUCGACCUAAUCUUUGGUAUUUAUUUACCCUUAUUUU